This is a long non-coding RNA of Camelus dromedarius (Arabian camel), 4925 nucleotides long. RefSeq lists it as uncharacterized. The record is from RefSeq and is a predicted model, not a curated record. Lineage: Eukaryota; Metazoa; Chordata; Mammalia; Artiodactyla; Camelidae. The transcript is spliced from 3 exons.
GUCAUCAGCUGUUAUGAGAAAAGACAGGUUCCUAAAUUCAGACCUUGAAGGAGAAAAUCGUUUUACUUCACCUUUAGUAAAGAUUUCAUUUGUAAAUGUUCCUGUCAAUUGAAACAUACCAAAGAAGACAGUGACUGAACAUUGCAGCAGAGCAAUGUGGCAGAGGGAAAUUAAGCAGUGGCAGAGACUGGAGAUGCUGGGAUUUGCCAUCUGUGUAGACAUGAAUCCUUUCAAGAUCAUAAAUCGCUCUCACAAUUCCAUCAUUGGGUAAAGGUCACCUACCUUUAUGUAUUCAACCCAGCCCUCAUUCCAUUUAGAAAACUGGAGCUCAAUCACAAAAUGAAUGAGGAUGUCUUGGAAUAUGACUAAAUUAGAUUUCACAAAGGAAAGUGGAUAUAAAGUCAUAAAAUCUACAGAGAGAGAGAAAGGUUAAAGGCAGCUAUCCAAGAUCAACUUGAGCUUACAAGAGAUUUUUGUUCUUAACUGUCCCUGCAUUUCUGUUCCCACUGAAGAACUUGAGGCAGAGAAAGAAGCCCACCGGGCAACAGGUGAGGGGCACAACAGGACCCUCCAAAAGACAUAAAUGUUGACCUCAUUUUCAACAAAAAGAGCCUUAUCCUCUUGAGAUCUCAAGAAUACUUCUCUGGUCCCCCCUCACCCCCUUUUAAAAACAUACAUAGUCACAGUCAUUUCUUUAGGCUGUUGUAGCUUACAGAAUUUGGGGGAAUCUUCCAUAAAUCUGAAGGUGGAGCUGUAUUUUGCUUGCUUUGUUUCCCUAUUGACUAAGUUACUAGGUGACACUGGGCAAAUCCUUCAUAUUUCCCAUAAAUCAGUGUCUUCAUCUCCACUAAUACAUCUUGGGAACCAGGAACAUGGUCAGCUCUACUUGCAGAUAGUGACAAAGAGCAUAAUAAUUUAUAGCAAAAGAGGAAGUGUACUUUUUAUUUUAUUAUCAAUAAUAUACCUUUAAGUAUCUUUAAGAAAUUGGGAUUUGUCUAAAUCUAGGUUGGUUGCUUUUUGUUUUUGUCUUCAUCUUGUGAGUUAACACACCGUCAGAACUGAACUGAACUGAACUGAGAAAAGUUGUUCUAGAUCAAUUUUGCAGGCAAUGCUCCUACUUCAUGUUCAGUCCUCCUCUGUUCCCUGCUGACAUGACCUCAAGAUUUCCACAGGGACACCUGGAAGCCGAAGUCAUAAAUUUGGGAAGUAUGUCAUUUUGUUUCUAUGUAGAUCUCUCAGUAGCCACCUGUACCAAUGUUCCUUUGGCCAAAUUUAAUUUACAAGGUGAACCAAACAGUCAGCUGUACUAGUAGAUGUGUGCUAUCCCCGGGGGACAAGACAUCAUUCUGUCCUUGUUGAAUUGAAUCUUGGGUUUUCCAGUUUUUUCGUAUGUGAUUUUGUUAGUUUAUUUUUAGAUUGUACGGUUUAGGGAAAAACACACACACACACACACACACACACACACACACACACACACACACACAAGGGUACCUGAGGCUAUUUUUAAAGAACUAUCACUAUAGAAUUAAUUUUAAAGGGAAAAAUAAGGAUGAGAGGAAAGGCAAUAAAUAGAAUGUCUUGAUCCCCUGGGAUAGCUCUGUCUUAACUACAGUAGAGAAAGCCAGUGAAGGCAAGAAUGGUUGUGAACUAGAGGAAAAUGAACCUUUCCUGUGACAUCUCGGGUAGUUGGAGCCCAGUGUGACAGAAGAAAGUAACAUCAGUUGAAAUACUCAAAGUAGUGUUGUUUCCCAUGAAAUUUUAAUUGAAGUCCCCACUCUACUUACGUGGAAGCCUAUCAGGGCUAUUCAGCUAUAACCACCAGAAGGAAAUUUCUCAUUUUUAUACUCAAAGCUGGUUUACAUAGCUGUGACUGCAUGUUUAUUUCAUGCAACUUCUGAUCCCGUGUGAGGUGUGUAAAUGCUAAAGACUUUGCAUACGAUGCUUUGUGCGUGGUUGAUGGUGAGGGGUCAUCACUCAGUACGAGACCCCAUUUCGGACAGAGAACAAUGGCUAGCACUCAGGAGGGAAGAGCAAUUACUUGCUCUUACAUCAGGACGGUCAGGAAAGGAUAGUACCAAGUCCCGUGCAACAGUCAGAAAAACUAUUUUGGAGUUAAGAACAAAAGGCAAUGAGUAAGAGUGCAGGUUAGCUCCGGGCUGGGGUAAUAGAGUCACUUCUAAGGGUGAAAGGUAAUAGGGGAGGAAUUGGUAAAUGCAAACUUGCCUGACUUUAAAAUUUAGCCUCCGGGUGGCUUGAGUGAAAAGAUUCUUUGAGAUAAUUAUGAACUUUGGGCAUUCAAAGUCUAAGUACAGUAUUUAUUAUAUUCCUGUUUUAAAAAAAAACUAUGCACUGAAUAUUUGAAAUAGACUUUAAGAUACACUAAAUUUAUUUUAAAGUAUAUUGAAAUGUUGAAUGAAAAACAUCUCUAAAUUGUACAUUCAUUGACUCUUCUUAUUUCAUAUUUCAUUCCAUAUUUAUGUGCUCUAAAGGUUUGAAUUCAAAUAUUAUAUGUACAUCUACUAGUACAGCUGACUGUUUCAUAAAUAUUUAAUUAAUCCCACAUCUAUUUACUUUCAUAAAACAUAAUGUAAGAAGAUGAAAGGUACCGAUUACUGAAUAUAUUAACAGGGCUGAGCAACCAGUCACUUUAUAUUAAUUCAAAUCCCUGGCCAACAUCAGAACUCCUCACUUCUGUCCACAUGGACCACAUGGUAGCCUUUGCAGUGAUGAAAUUCACACACGAGUAUUACAGAUCACUUUGAGCAAGGCUGCACGGUGGCUCCUUCAGAGAACAUCACAAUCAGAACGUACUUAGUCCCAGAUCUCAAGAUAAUUAGAAUGCCCAGAGAUUUAGAACUGUCAGGCUAACCAAAGUGGAAUUGGGAGAAACCCAGAAUUUAUCCAUCUCCUUCUCUAUUUAAAACUAAAUGUUUAAUGACUAAUAUUUUGAGCAUUUGGCUAACUUUUCACUGAGUAAUUUGGUUAAAAUUUCCCUUUGCAGAACCCCCCCCAUCUCCUUUUCAACUACAAGCUCCUUAAUUUACACCCUGAUAACUUCAAGCCUGUAUUACUUCACAACAUGAUUCCUGCCUGAGCCUAUUUUUCAGUGUUCAGUCUUCUCUUAUAUCAGGCUAUCUUAAAAACCACUUCCAACUGAAAGUCUCGUUUGUUAAAAAAAAAAAAAAAGGAAAAAAUUGAGUAUUAUUACCUGUUGAAAAAAAUGGUAGAAUAUAGAAAAGAAUAAUAAAAAAGAUAUAAUCACCCCAAAUUUCACAGUAGGGAAAACCACAGUUAAUAUUUGGUUGGUUUCUGUUCAAACUUCUCUAAGAGUAAAUCAACAUUGAGAGAGAGAUUUGACAAAAUUGAGAUUGAUUUGAAUAUACUGCAGUCUGAUUUGUCUUAAUUUAGCAAUACUUGAAAUGCAUUUUUCAUGUGUUUACUAUCAUUUAAGAUAACUUUUCAUGGCUUUGAAUUAUCCCAGUAUAUGGCUGUACCUAAGUUACUUAAGUAGUUUAAUUAUUUAGACAUAGAAAUCAUUUUCAGUUUUUCACUAUUAUAAAGAACACAGCAAUAAUCGUAUAGGUACUUAAAUUUCUAAUCUUUUUUUAAGUAAGUUCUCUGAAGUGAACUAUUAGGUCUAAGGUUGGGAACUUUUUUUUUUUAAGUUUUUAUCUAAUGGUUGCAUUUCCUCACCAAUGUUCCUUCAUGUUUCUCUUAGAUAAUUUUUCUCACAGUUGCUAUUCAGCAUAGAUGGAAUACUGCCUGGUUUCUAAACUGGAUUGCUUCUGAAUAAGAAGACCACAGUCUCUACCUUUGGUAACAUCUCUAAUUACAUUCGCAACAUGCUAAUCUCACAUAAACAUUGUUCAGUUAAUAACUUUUUCUCCUAAUAGUGCUUGCAAAGCUCUACUGUUUUUCAGACAAUUCCCUUUCUUUUUUUAAAUAAGGAAUUUGUCCCAAAGUAAAUAUGCUGGAAGAAGAAAUAUUUUAACACAGUUCUUUCAGAGAUAAUUUAGUUGAUGUAACAGGUUGUGGUCUGAGAAUGUUGCAUGGAACAAAUUUAAGUUAUGCCCCAUGUUUGGAUGAGCCCAAAGACCGGUGUUUUACUGGGAGUUCCUGUGUCCAAAAACUGGAUCAGGGUAAGUUAUAUGCCUGUUUGACCCUUGUGCAUCAAGGCUACUUCCUCAUGUUUUGACGAGCUCUCAUUUUUGAACUUUAAUUGCCUUUAAGGGGUUGCUCUGAACUAUUUUUGUAAGCACAGUUGGCAUGCAAGAUGACUGUAGGAUCAAAGGGUUGAAAAUCUGGUGAAGAGAUAACGUAGAAAAGAAAGUUUCCAUAGCAACACCUUCACAGCCCUCUGGCACCAUUCACCGCUACCCAGCAGGUCUCUGCCUCCUACGGAAAGAGAAAGAAAGGAAGGUUUGCACGUUUGCCAUUGCCUGUUGGGAUUCAAAAAUGUCUUUGGAAUAACAGCUGGUUAAGAGAGCUGAGAGUUGGCGUGGCCUCUUCUUUGGCCUUGAAUGAUCACCAUGGGGUGUUUUUCUCCGACUCUCCUAAAGGACUGAAGAACCAGACGGGGACUAAUGCCUUCAGGCACAGAACAGUUAGAACAUUCAUUAGGUAAGUUCCCCACUCGUAGGGCCACCAUGAUGGCCUUACAUUUGUUAGCUUGUUACAACUGGUAGUCUGUCUAGGGGACUUGGAGAAGCACGGGGUCUCUGGUAGAGGAACCAAAGAGUUCACAUUCAAAUGCUUGACUGACAGUUGACAGACACUAAUGACUGAAUUGAGCUUAGUUGAAAGUUAUGUAGGAGUAACAAUGCCUUUCUUAAAUAAUUUGCUAACAUGUGUUAAGGGCCUAUCAGGUGAACAGAAUAGGAUGAAUCCUACUUCUUCGUUCAUGACAGAUUUUUAUGGGGCCAGGC